AUCAAAAAGCCAUUGGCACUGUGGCUGCUGCCCAAGCCAACUUCAUGCGUGUAAUCAUCCAGUCACUCCCUUCCUCCUCUGAGCUUUCUAGCACCUUCCAGAAGAGCGAAGAGGAAGCUUCUAGUAGUAACUCCGAUGAAGGUAAAAUUGGUGUUGAAUUGCUUUGUGUGGUGAGGGCGGUGCUGAAGAAGAUAAAGAGGAGAGUGCUGGUAGGGGACAAGGUAGUGGUAGG
RNAcentral lists this unclassified non-coding RNA (232 nucleotides) under Hevea brasiliensis (rubber tree). The record is from RNAcentral. Lineage: Eukaryota; Viridiplantae; Streptophyta; Magnoliopsida; Malpighiales; Euphorbiaceae.